Molecule: ribosomal RNA, 492 nt
Filed under: uncultured bacterium
Lineage: Bacteria
Description: bacterial SSU rRNA
Rfam family: Bacterial small subunit ribosomal RNA
Source: RNAcentral
GAUGAACGCUAGCUACAGGCUUAACACAUGCAAGUCGAGGGGCAGCAUUUUAGUUUGCUUGCAAACUGAAGAUGGCGACCGGCGCACGGGUGAGUAACACGUAUCCAACCUGCCGAUAACUCCGGAAUAGCCUUUCGAAAGAAAGAUUAAUACCGGAUAGUAUACGAAUAUCGCAUGAUAUUUUAUUAAAGAAUUUCGGUUAUCGAUGGGGAUGCGUUCCAUUAGUUUGUUGGCGGGGUAACGGCCCACCGAGACUACGAUGGAUAGGGGUUCUGAGAGGAAGGUCCCCCACAUUGGAACUGAGACACGGUCCAAACUCCUACGGGAGGCAGCAGUGAGGAAUAUUGGUCAAUGGGCGAGAGCCUGAAACCAGCCAAGUAGCGUGAAGGAUGAAGGCUCUAUGGGUCGAAACUUCUUUAUAUGGGAAUAAAAGUUUUCCACGUGUGGAAUUUUUGUAUGUACCCAUAUGAAUAAGGAUCGGCUAACUCCGUG